RNAcentral lists this ribosomal RNA (635 nucleotides) under Melanohalea infumata. RNAcentral describes it as "SSU rRNA". It matches the Rfam family "Bacterial small subunit ribosomal RNA", at positions 371 to 1022 of the family's 1533-position model. Lineage: Eukaryota; Fungi; Ascomycota; Lecanoromycetes; Lecanorales; Parmeliaceae. The record is from RNAcentral.
UAUAGCAAUAGCUACUUGCAUCAUUGUACGAUGAUGCAAGAUCGACUAUGUCGAAUAAAAUUCUAGGUAGAAUUAUGAUAAUGACAUUGUCUGCCUAUGUGUCUUGACCAAAUUACGUGCCAGCAGUCGCGGUAAUACGUAGAAGACUAGUGUUAUUCAUGUUUAAUCGGUUUAAAGGGUACCUAGACGGUAAAUCAAGCUUUCCAAGAAAUAAAGUUAAAGGACUAAUUUACUAGAGUUACUUAUGAGGGGGUAUUAAAGUACUGCUGGUGUAGAGAUGAAAUUCUGUCAUACCUCUUUUCAAAAGAAAAACGAUGGCACAGGUAUAGGCGAAGGCAUCCCCUUAUGUGAUAACUGACGUUGAGGGACGAAGGCUUUGUAUAGCGAACAGGAUUAGAUACCCCAGUAGUCUAAGCAGAAAAUGAUGAAUGUCAUAGAUUAGAUGUAAGUUUAUUCUAUAAAUGAAAGUGUAAGCAUUCCACCUCAUGAGUAAUUUGGCAACAUUGGAACUGAAAUCAUUAGACCGUUUCUGAAACCAGUAGUGAAGUAUGUUGUUUAAUUUGAUGAUCCGCAAAAAACCUUACCACAAUUUGAAUAUUUAUAUUUUUUUAUUGUUUUCUUCUUAAUUUUUUUCU